RNAcentral lists this ribosomal RNA (422 nucleotides) under uncultured bacterium. RNAcentral describes it as "bacterial SSU rRNA". It matches the Rfam family "Bacterial small subunit ribosomal RNA", at positions 355 to 774 of the family's 1533-position model. The record is from RNAcentral.
UGAGGAAUAUUGGACAAUGGGCGCAAGCCUGAUCCAGCCAUGCCGCGUGCAGGAAGAAGCAUCUAUGGUGUGUAAACUGCUUUUGUACGGGAAGAAACACUCCUACGUGUAGGAGCUUGACGGUACCGUAAGAAUAAGGAUCGGCUAACUCCGUGCCAGCAGCCGCGGUAAUACGGAGGAUCCAAGCGUUAUCCGGAAUCAUUGGGUUUAAAGGGUCCGUAGGCGGUUUAAUAAGUCAGUGGUGAAAGCCCAUCGCUCAACGAUGGAACGGCCAUUGAUACUGUUAGACUUGAAUUACAAGGAAGUAACUAGAAUAUGUAGUGUAGCGGUGAAAUGCUUAGAUAUUACAUGGAAUACCAAUUGCGAAGGCAGGUUACUACUUGUGGAUUGACGCUGAUGGACGAAAGCGUGGGGAGCGAACA